GGGGGUGAAAGGUUUCGACUUCGACUGAUGUUUCAGGGGAAGCGGGCCGAGGAUGCCAGGGAUGAGCUCGUAAACCAUGCCCUGGAAAAAAAAUAAGCGCCGAUACCAAUCGCGCCCAGUUCGCCCUCGCUGCCUAAGCGAGUACGCGGACUUGUCAGCCUGAGUGCGCCUCCGACUCAGUCACUGGCAUCAGCUAGGAGGCUUCAUCGCCGCCCUCGGUCACGGGGGGCAGCGAGACAUCAAACAGUGACUGAGCCCGUCGGCAGCUUGCUUGCGUGACUGCCGGGGCCGAGAAAAGCAGCUGCAAGCUCCGCCCGGAGAAGCCCUGACUCGACACCGAAGGACGCGGGUUCGAUUCCCGCCACCUCCACCC
RNAcentral lists this transfer-messenger RNA (373 nucleotides) under Actinomycetota bacterium. It matches the Rfam family "transfer-messenger RNA". From Rfam's summary of the family: Bacterial tmRNA, also known as 10Sa RNA or SsrA, is named for its dual tRNA and mRNA-like properties. The record is from RNAcentral. Lineage: Bacteria; Bacillati; Actinomycetota.